This 753-nucleotide ribosomal RNA is filed under the name Bacillus sp. FJAT-17890. RNAcentral's name for it is "bacterial SSU rRNA". It matches the Rfam family "Bacterial small subunit ribosomal RNA", at positions 59 to 794 of the family's 1533-position model. The record is from RNAcentral. Lineage: Bacteria; Bacillati; Bacillota; Bacilli; Caryophanales; Bacillaceae.
AAGUCGAGCGGACAGAUGGGAGCUUGCUCCCUGAUGUUAGCGGCGGACGGGUGAGUAACACGUGGGUAACCUGCCUGUAAGACUGGGAUAACUCCGGGAAACCGGGGCUAAUACCGGAUGGUUGUUUGAACCGCAUGGUUCAGACAUAAAAGGUGGCUUCGGCUACCACUUACAGAUGGACCCGCGGCGCAUUAGCUAGUUGGUGAGGUAACGGCUCACCAAGGCAACGAUGCGUAGCCGACCUGAGAGGGUGAUCGGCCACACUGGGACUGAGACACGGCCCAGACUCCUACGGGAGGCAGCAGUAGGGAAUCUUCCGCAAUGGACGAAAGUCUGACGGAGCAACGCCGCGUGAGUGAUGAAGGUUUUCGGAUCGUAAAGCUCUGUUGUUAGGGAAGAACAAGUGCCGUUCAAAUAGGGCGGCACCUUGACGGUACCUAACCAGAAAGCCACGGCUAACUACGUGCCAGCAGCCGCGGUAAUACGUAGGUGGCAAGCGUUGUCCGGAAUUAUUGGGCGUAAAGGGCUCGCAGGCGGUUUCUUAAGUCUGAUGUGAAAGCCCCCGGCUCAACCGGGGAGGGUCAUUGGAAACUGGGGAACUUGAGUGCAGAAGAGGAGAGUGGAAUUCCACGUGUAGCGGUGAAAUGCGUAGAGAUGUGGAGGAACACCAGUGGCGAAGGCGACUCUCUGGUCUGUAACUGACGCUGAGGAGCGAAAGCGUGGGGAGCGAACAGGAUUAGAUACCCUGGUAGU